RNAcentral lists this ribosomal RNA (274 nucleotides) under uncultured Acholeplasma sp. RNAcentral's name for it is "partial 16S ribosomal RNA". It matches the Rfam family "Bacterial small subunit ribosomal RNA", at positions 1108 to 1382 of the family's 1533-position model. The record is from RNAcentral. Lineage: Bacteria; Bacillati; Mycoplasmatota; Mollicutes; Acholeplasmatales; Acholeplasmataceae.
UUGCUAGUUACCAUCAUUGAGUUGGGGACGUCUAGCGAGACUGCCAGCGAUAAGCUGGAGGAAGGUGGGGAUGACGUCAAAUCAUCAUGCCCCUUAUGACCUGGGCUACAAACGUGAUACAAUGGCUGGAACAAAGGGAGGCGAAGGGGUGACCUGGAGCGAAACCCAAAAAUACAGUCUCAGUUCGGAUUGGAGUCUGCAACUCGACUUCAUGAAGUCGGAAUCGCUAGUAAUCGCGGAUCAGAACGCCGCGGUGAAUACGUUCUCGGGGUUU